AUGCCUGGUCAAAAAAGUUGGAAUCAUGAUCUCAUAUUUUCUCUUUUCCAGCAGCCUCUUGCGUCGCAAAUUGUUAACACUGAAAUUAUUGAUGAUGAUGGUCCGGAUUUGCUGUGUUGGGAUCUCACCCCAAAUGGUAUUUGCUCUUCUAAAUCUGCUUACAAGCUUUGCCUCCAGGAGCUUCAUAAUAAUCCUAGAAAUGCCCCUAUGGAUAUUCCUUUGGAUUUGAAAGACUUUCUCAAGCUCAUUUGGAAGCAAAAAAGUUUGCUCCCUCGUGUUCAAACUUUUGCUUGGAGACUUCUUCGAAGGGCUUUGCCUAUGGGCAUGAGAGCUGGCCGCUUCUCUGUUCACAUCUCUUCAUCUUGUUGUAGAUGCGGACAGCAGGAGGAUGAAUUUCACCUCUUUUUUCUCUGCGGCUUCGCGAGAGCAGCAUGGUUUUCUUCGCCUUGGUUUAUUCGAGCGGAUGUUCUUACUCAAGGGCACUCUUCUAUGCAUUCCAUUCUCAUCUUUCUUAUUAAUAUGAGUCACCCUCAUGCCUCUAUUCAGAAUGUUCUUAAUUUUUUAUGGUGCCUGUGGAAAGCUCGAAAUGAUUUUCUUUUUGAUAGGAAAAAUCAUCUUCCUCAUCAGGUUAAUAUUGCUACUACAACUUUGGACUUUGGGCAUUUGCAUAAUCUUCACAAUCCUUCUUCUGAGCAGCCUCUGUCUACUAAUCAUCAUUCUACUGAUAUUUUACCUAAGCAGGGCAAAACGCUUAAAUCGGAUUUGUUAAUUUUUGGGACUAAAAUUUUCUCUGAUGCAGCAUUUAGAUCGUCCAAAAUCCCAGGACUCGCUCGAGGACAUGUGGGCACAGGUAUAGGUGUUUAUAUUUCCAUGCCUUCGGAUCAAGGUGAGAUUAGUAUUCAGGUUCAAGCUUCGGCCUCUUCAACGUCAACUCCCCUUCAACCUGAGGCAGUUGCCCUUUCUUGUGCAGCUCACCUUGCCGCUCAGCUUAAUAUUACUAAUCCCACAUUUCUGACGGACUGUCUUUCUCUUGCUUCUGCUGCUACCUCAAGAAAUAUUUCAGAUUCUCCUGCUCAAUGGAACAUUAGAAAACAGUUGGCUACUUUUCUCAAAGUUACGUCUAAUUUAGCUGCUCAAGUGUUUCAUGUUUCCAGGGAAAUCAAUGGUGUCGCUCAUAAUCUGGCUCAGCAGGUUUUCCAAUCUGUCCGAGAGACACAAGUUGCUUGUUUUGCUCAUGCUCACUCAAAUUCUCCAUGUCCAGUGGUGGCCCUUCUUUCAAACUUUCAACUUGCAGAUAUUCAACUGCACACGAUGCAUUGCUUCUAA
Molecule: ribosomal RNA, 1326 nt
Filed under: Triticum aestivum (bread wheat)
Lineage: Eukaryota; Viridiplantae; Streptophyta; Magnoliopsida; Poales; Poaceae
Description: partial small subunit ribosomal RNA
Source: RNAcentral